RNAcentral lists this ribosomal RNA (312 nucleotides) under Triticum aestivum (bread wheat). RNAcentral's name for it is "partial small subunit ribosomal RNA". Lineage: Eukaryota; Viridiplantae; Streptophyta; Magnoliopsida; Poales; Poaceae. The record is from RNAcentral.
AUGGCAUGGCUAAGCUGGGAAAAAAUGAUGCUUCCCAAGGCUAUGGGAGGCAUGGGUUUUUGCGAUAUGAGAGAUUUUAACCAGGCCCUGCUCGCAAAGCAGGCUUGGCGUCUGCUGGACUGCCCACAAAGCUUAUGCACGAGACUCCUCAGAGCUAAAUAUUUCCCCCACGGAAAUCUCCUAGACACGGUGUUCCCUGCUACUUCUUCUGCAGUGUGGAAGGGAAUUGUCCAUGGUCUUGAGCUUGUGAAGAAAGGUAUCAUUUGGCGUGUGGGGGAUGGUUCGUUAAUCAAAACAUGGAGAGAUGCUUGG